RNAcentral lists this ribosomal RNA (250 nucleotides) under uncultured prokaryote. Its description in RNAcentral is "partial 16S ribosomal RNA". It matches the Rfam family "Bacterial small subunit ribosomal RNA", at positions 524 to 773 of the family's 1533-position model. The record is from RNAcentral.
UACGGAAGGUCCGGGCGUUAUCCGGAUUUAUUGGGUUUAAAGGGAGCGCAGGCGGCAUCAUAAGCGUGUUGUGAAAUGUGGAGGCUCAACCUUCAGACUGCAGCGCGAACUGUGGUACUUGAGUGCGCUGAAAGUGGGCGGAAUUCGUGGUGUAGCGGUGAAAUGCUUAGAUAUCACGAAGAACUCCGAUUGCGAAGGCAGCUCACUGUAGCGUUACUGACGCUCAUGCUCGAAAGUGCGGGUAUCGAAC